Molecule: ribosomal RNA, 254 nt
Filed under: uncultured bacterium
Lineage: Bacteria
Description: partial 16S ribosomal RNA
Rfam family: Bacterial small subunit ribosomal RNA
Source: RNAcentral
GACGAACCGUGCGAACGUUAUUCGGAAUCACUGGGCUUAAAGCGCGUGUAGGCGGGACGGCACGUCGGUCGCUGAAAGCCCCCGGCUCAACCGGGGAACGGGCGCCGAUACGACCGCCCUGGAGGAACGUAGGGGGACCUGGAACUUCCGGUGGAGCGGUGAAAUGCGUUGAGAUCGGAAGGAACGCCCGUGGCGAAAGCGAGGUCCUGGACAAUUCCUGACACUGAGGCACGAAAGCCAAGGGAGCAAACAGG